CUGUGCUCUCCAAAGCUCCCUCUCCUCCUCAAGUGUCACAGCGUAUUCUUUUCUGCAGCUGCACCACCGUGAAGAGGAAUGGGCAGAUGGGUGCACAUGGCACGGUCAUGCUGAUAGGUGGGAGUUCACUGGAAAGGAGCUGCCUCCUCUCAGGAAGGUGAAGUCAGGCUCCAGAGUGAGCCCGGGAGACUACAGAGCUGCCACUGCCUCGGGAACAGGGGCCUUGCACAGGAAACCCUUCGGAUUCAUUCACCCCACAGAAUCUACAUGGAGGCACAGGGUGCUUUGCUUCUCAUUCCAUAGUGUGCCUUCUCUUGCAGCUGUUUUCCAAAUGUGUUUAGCUAAGACUCCUUUCUUUAAAUGCAAUCUGGUGUGGAAGCAAAAGCAAUACAUUAUUCAAUAUUUCUUGAAAUAAACCUGUGUCAAAGUGCAA
This is a long non-coding RNA of Ictidomys tridecemlineatus (thirteen-lined ground squirrel), 433 nucleotides long. RefSeq lists it as uncharacterized. The record is from RefSeq and is a predicted model, not a curated record. Lineage: Eukaryota; Metazoa; Chordata; Mammalia; Rodentia; Sciuridae.